RNAcentral lists this ribosomal RNA (393 nucleotides) under uncultured bacterium. Its description in RNAcentral is "partial 16S ribosomal RNA". It matches the Rfam family "Bacterial small subunit ribosomal RNA", at positions 523 to 918 of the family's 1533-position model. The record is from RNAcentral.
AUACGGAGGAUGCGAGCGUUAUCCGGAUUUAUUGGGUUUAAAGGGAGCGUAGGUGGGUUAUUAAGUCAGCUGUGAAAGUUUGGGGCUCAACCUUAAAAUUGCAGUUGAUACUGGUUUCCUUGAGUACGGUACAGGUGGGCGGAAUUCGUGGUGUAGUGGUGAAAUGCUUAGAUAUCACGAAGAACUCCGAUCGCGAAGGCAGCUCACCGGGCCGGAACUGACGCUGAUGCUCGAAAGUGCGGGUAUCAAACAGGAUUAGAUACCCUGGUAGUCCGCACAGUAAACGAUGAAUACUCGCUGUUUGCGAUACACUGUAAGCGGCCAAGCGAAAGCGUUAAGUAUUCCACCUGGGGAGUACGCCGGCAACGGUGAAACUCAAAGGAAUUGACGGGG